AUGAGGGACGCUAUCAAAUUUCUAGAAAGGGAUUUUACCCAGCGAUGGCUCCUUCCACCUCCACUUCGGAAAAAGCCGAUCAAACCACCGAUGCAGCUGCACAAGAAACAACUAUCUGGAUGGACCACCAUGAGAACGAGUGGCGGCGGCGGCGACCUGUUCGGUGCGCUGCCGGACGAGCUCCUGGGCCACGUGCUCUCCUUCCUGCCCUCGCGCGAUGCCGUGCAUACAUCCCUCCUCUCCCGCCGCUGGCGCCACCUCUGGAGAUCAGCCCCCGCCAUCCACGUCCACGGCGAGGGAGACGCCUUGUGCGUCUUCGUCAACAGCCUCCUAAUGGGCCGAGAAGCUGCCUCCGCGCCGCCGCUGCCCUCGUUCGAGAUCGACGCCAACCUGAAGAAACUCCGCGACUGCAACUACUGCGAGUACAAGCCCGACUACUGCAGGUGCGAGUUAGGAGUUCUUCUACCCCUACUCGGACCGCUGGGAGGUCAACCCCCAGGUCGACCUCAAGACGUGCUCUGGAAGCCGCGGCGCCCCCUCCCCUUCGCCUCGCCGCACCUGACGACGAUCCACCUCGACACCGUCCGCCUCGUCGACGGCCAACUCGACUUCUCCUGCUGCCCGGCGCUACUGCGCCUCAAUCUCGAGCGUUGCGGCCUCUAUGCAGACGCACUCGUAUCGCCCUCGCUGGAGCGCCUCACCAUCGACGACUGCCGCACCGAUAUCGACGAUGACUGGGAAGCAGGACCAGGCGAGAAAAUGCACACGAGCGUGUCGACGCUGAGACUCCGUUUUCUGGAGAUAUCUAAUAACUACGGUAAGAAGCAGUUCCCCGAGAUGAUGCCUUGGUUGACAAAGGAGAGCGUCCGGUAUACAAAUGAAUGGUUAUAUGAUGGUGAUUCAGAAUCAGAUUCGGAGGGAUAG
RNAcentral lists this ribosomal RNA (924 nucleotides) under Triticum aestivum (bread wheat). RNAcentral describes it as "partial small subunit ribosomal RNA". Lineage: Eukaryota; Viridiplantae; Streptophyta; Magnoliopsida; Poales; Poaceae. The record is from RNAcentral.